AUUUUCUUAUCUCUCAUCGUCUCAUCGAGUUCUCCUCCUCUUAUUUUUUCUUCAAUUCAAAAGCUAGGACGAGAUCUGUAAAAUCAAACCAAGUUUUCUGAAAUCAAAACCGGUCUCUUCUAAACCCUAAACUCAAUCAGAAACUAAACUCAAUCUUUCAGUACAUCAAAUUUAAUAAACCCUAGAAAUUGUUUCUUUUGUACUCUUAAAUAAUUCUGUAAGGUGUGCUUGGUUUUAACUUGAAGUUUCUUUUUGUAAUGGUGAAAUAGUCAUAGAUCUGUUACCUUAGUCAGAUUCUGUUUAUUUUCUUAUUUUUUUCUUUUAAAGCAGUAGAUUUACAAUUCUUCUUCCUAAUUAUUUCAUAAUCAACAAGUGGAGAUAAUUCCAGUUCUUAGCUUUCAAUCUUUGUUUUAGACUCUCACGUUGAGGUUAUCGAUUGCAGAUCCUAUUCAGAUUGGGUUUUCGGUUAACUUGCUUAAGUAAGAAAUUGGUCAAGAAAAUCAACACAUAAAAGGCAAAGACAGUAUUUCGAGCAAAAGAAACGGCAACAACAUUCCAAUGGAGAUGACGAUGCUGAAGGAACUUAUGGGUCUAUUGAGUACCAUCGGAGACCUAAAUCGUUGGAUAUCUUAAGUUUGUUGAACUUGGUGGGAGAGGCCAAGGGGGGGUAAUUCUGGAUGCAACAAUAAUAAUUUUAUUGAUUUAAUGUGUCAUUUUAUAGGAUCAUAUUGCUUUCUGGCUGUAGCUAACUCACCCCCUUUGCAUUUUCCUUCCUGUAAAAAUGCUGAUAAAAGCAGCGGAUGGUCUGGCGCCGCUGAAUUAUCAAGUCCCUAAGGACAUGCAUAAGGUAGCGAAAAUCUCAGUCCUGAGAUUUUCACCCGUGAACUACCAGCUUCAGAAGGACACAAUAGAGACUACAUCACCAUCCAAAGAAGAGAAAUGUGCAUCCCCCGAAAGUGCCACUGCAAUAGAAAUUUGGGCUGGCUAAAUCCUGCAUCGGAUAAAAUACCGAACAAGUUCAGAAAAUUGGUAUGUUAAAUCAGUCAUAAUUUAGCUCUCUACUCCGAGAUUAUAUUGAAGUCCUACAAUGUAUUAGUCGUCUCCUUUAGUUGUACAAGUUCUAUAAAGCAUUUACUAUGUCUAUUUCUGAUCUCUUGUAGAAAGUAUAAGUUAUGCGUAUGUAACCCAUGUUGGAAGAGAGACUAUUGUAAGGAUACUAUUGGUUCACCAUAUGUUCAUAUGAAAAAUUGAGUGUUCUAUUUGAUCUA
Papaver somniferum (opium poppy) is the source of this 1268-nucleotide long non-coding RNA. RefSeq lists it as uncharacterized. NCBI's taxonomy places the organism in Eukaryota, Viridiplantae, Streptophyta, Magnoliopsida, Ranunculales, Papaveraceae. The record is from RefSeq and is a predicted model, not a curated record. The transcript has 6 exons.